This 765-nucleotide ribosomal RNA is filed under the name uncultured Streptococcus sp. RNAcentral's name for it is "bacterial SSU rRNA". It matches the Rfam family "Bacterial small subunit ribosomal RNA", at positions 28 to 776 of the family's 1533-position model. Lineage: Bacteria; Bacillati; Bacillota; Bacilli; Lactobacillales; Streptococcaceae. The record is from RNAcentral.
GACGAACGCUGGCGGCGUGCCUAAUACAUGCAAGUAGAACGCUGAAGCUUGGUGCUUGCACCGAGCGGAUGAGUUGCGAACGGGUGAGUAACGCGUAGGUAACCUGCCUGGUAGCGGGGGAUAACUAUUGGAAACGAUAGCUAAUACCGCAUAAAAUGGAUUAUCGCAUGAUAAUCGAUUGAAAGGUGCAAAUGCAUCACUACCAGAUGGACCUGCGUUGUAUUAGCUAGUUGGUGGGGUAACGGCUCACCAAGGCGACGAUACACAGCCGACCUGAGAGGGUGAUCGGCCACACUGGGACUGAGACACGGCCCAGACUCCUACGGGAGGCAGCAGUAGGGAAUCUUCGGCAAUGGACGGAAGUCUGACCGAGCAACGCCGCGUGAGUGAAGAAGGUUUUCGGAUCGUAAAGCUCUGUUGUAAGAGAAGAACGAGUGUGAGAGUGGAAAGUUCACACUGUGACGGUAUCUUACCAGAAAGGGACGGCUAACUACGUGCCAGCAGCCGCGGUAAUACGUAGGUCCCGAGCGUUGUCCGGAUUUAUUGGGCGUAAAGCGAGCGCAGGCGGUUAGAUAAGUCUGAAGUUAAAGGCUGUGGCUUAACCAUAGUACGCUUUGGAAACUGUUUAACUUGAGUGCAAGAGGGGAGAGUGGAAUUCCAUGUGUAGCGGUGAAAUGCGUAGAUAUAUGGAGGAACACCGGUGGCGAAAGCGGCUCUCUGGCUUGUAACUGACGCUGAGGCUCGAAAGCGUGGGGAGCAAACAGG